Molecule: transfer RNA, 91 nt
Filed under: Mycobacteroides abscessus
Lineage: Bacteria; Bacillati; Actinomycetota; Actinomycetes; Mycobacteriales; Mycobacteriaceae
Description: tRNA-Tyr(gta)
Source: RNAcentral
CCACUAGUUUGUGCGCAACGAAAGCACCCCUGGUCCUGUAGAGGCCGGGGGUGUUCUCGUCUUGGAAGUGGGUUCAACUCCUAUCGGUAGG